This 529-nucleotide ribosomal RNA is filed under the name uncultured bacterium. RNAcentral's name for it is "bacterial SSU rRNA". It matches the Rfam family "Bacterial small subunit ribosomal RNA", at positions 777 to 1304 of the family's 1533-position model. The record is from RNAcentral.
AAUAGAUACCCUGGUAGUCCACGCCGUAAACGAUGAGUGCUAAGUGUUAGAGGGUUUCCGCCCUUUAGUGCUGCAGCUAACGCAUUAAGCACUCCGCCUGGGGAGUACGGCCGCAAGGCUGAAACUCAAAGGAAUUGACGGGGGCCCGCACAAGCGGUGGAGCAUGUGGUUUAAUUCGAAGCAACGCGAAGAACCUUACCAGGUCUUGACAUCCUCUGCCAACCCUAGAGAUAGGGCGUUCCCCUUCGGGGGACAGAGUGACAGGUGGUGCAUGGUUGUCGUCAGCUCGUGUCGUGAGAUGUUGGGUUAAGUCCCGCAACGAGCGCAACCCUUGAUCUUAGUUGCCAGCAUUCAGUUGGGCACUCUAAGGUGACUGCCGGUGACAAACCGGAGGAAGGUGGGGAUGACGUCAAAUCAUCAUGCCCCUUAUGACCUGGGCUACACACGUGCUACAAUGGAUGGUACAAAGAGCAGCGAACCCGCGAGGGUAAGCCAAUCUCAUAAAGCCAUUCUCAGUUCGGAUUGUAGG